RNAcentral lists this ribosomal RNA (153 nucleotides) under Hypsizygus marmoreus. Its description in RNAcentral is "5.8S ribosomal RNA". It matches the Rfam family "5.8S ribosomal RNA". Rfam says of the family: 5.8S ribosomal RNA (5.8S rRNA) is a component of the large subunit of the eukaryotic ribosome. It is transcribed by RNA polymerase I as part of the 45S precursor that also contains 18S and 28S rRNA. Functionally, it is thought that 5.8S rRNA may be involved in ribosome translocation. The record is from RNAcentral. Lineage: Eukaryota; Fungi; Basidiomycota; Agaricomycetes; Agaricales; Lyophyllaceae.
ACUUUCAACAACGGAUCUCUUGGCUCUCGCAUCGAUGAAGAACGCAGCGAAAUGCGAUAAGUAAUGUGAAUUGCAGAAUUCAGUGAAUCAUCGAAUCUUUGAACGCACCUUGCGCUCCUUGGUACUCCGAGGAGCAUGCCUGUUUGAGUGUCA